UUGAUCCUGGCUCAGGACGAACGCUGGCGGCGUGCCUAAUACAUGCAAGUCGAGCGAGCCGAACUAAUUGAUUACCUUCGGGUAUGAAGUUAGGGAAGCGAGCGGCGGAUGGGUGAGUAACACGUGGGUAACCUACCCUAUAGUCUGGGAUACCACUUGGAAACAGGUGCUAAUACCGGAUAAAAGGAGAGAUCACAUGAUUUCUUUUUGAAAGGCGGCGUAAGCUGUCGCUAAAGGAUGGACCCGCGGUGCAUUAGCUAGUUGGUAAGGUAACGGCUUACCAAGGCAACGAUGCAUAGCCGAGUUGAGAGACUGAUCGGCCAAUUGGACUGAGGAACACGGCCCAAACUCCUACGGGAGGCAGCAGUAGGGAAUCUUCCACAAUGGACGCAAGUCUGAUGGAGCAACGCCGCGUGAGUGAAGAAGGUUUUCGGAUCGUAAAGCUCUGUUGUUGGUGAAGAAAGAUAGUGAGGAGUAACUGCUCAUUAUUUGCCGGUAAUCAACCAGAAAGUCACGGCUAACUACGUGCCAGCAGCCGCGGUAAUACGUAGGUGGCAAGCGUUGUCCGGAUUUAUUGGGCGUAAAGCGAGCGCAGGCGGAAAGAUAAGUCAGAUGUGAAAGCCCUUUGGCUUAACCGAGGAAUAGCAUCGGAAACUGUCUCUCUUGAGUGCAGAAGAGGAGAGUGGAACUCCAUGUGUAGCGGUGGAAUGCGUAGAUAUAUGGAAGAACACCAGUGGCGAAGGCGGCUCUCUGGUCUGUAACUGACGCUGAGGCUCGAAAGCAUGGGUAGCGAACAGGAUUAGAUACCCUGGUAGUCCAUGCUGUAAACGAUGAGUGCUAAGUGUUGGGAGGUUUCCGCCUCUCAGUGCUGCAGCUAACGCAUUAAGCACUCCGCCUGGGGAGUACGACCGCAAGGUCAAAACUCAAAGGAAUUUGACGGGGGCCCGCACAAGCGGUGGAGCAUGUGGUUUAAUUCGAAGCAACGCGAAGAACCUUACCAGGUCUUGACAUCUAGUGCCAACCUAAGAGAUUAGGCGUUCCCUUCGGGGACACUAAGAACAGGUGGUGCAUGGCUGUCGUCAGCUCGUGUCGUGAGAUGUUGGGUUAAGUCCCGCAACGAGCGCAACCCUUAUAUUAGUGCCAGCAUUAAGUUGGGCACCUCUAAUGAGAACUGCCGGUGACAAACCGAGAGGAAGGGUGGGGAUGACUUCAAGUCAUCUAGCCCUUAUGACCUGGGCUACACACGUGCUACAAUGGGCAGUACAACGAGGAGCGAACUUGUGAAGGCAAGCGAAUCUCUGAAAGCUGUUCUCAGUUCGGACUGUAGGCUGCAACUCGCCUACACGAAGCUGGAAUCGCUAGUAAUCGCGGAUCAGCACGCCGCGGUGAAUACG
RNAcentral lists this ribosomal RNA (1394 nucleotides) under uncultured Lactobacillus sp. Its description in RNAcentral is "bacterial SSU rRNA". It matches the Rfam family "Bacterial small subunit ribosomal RNA", at positions 13 to 1370 of the family's 1533-position model. The record is from RNAcentral. Lineage: Bacteria; Bacillati; Bacillota; Bacilli; Lactobacillales; Lactobacillaceae.